RNAcentral lists this unclassified non-coding RNA (506 nucleotides) under Hevea brasiliensis (rubber tree). The record is from RNAcentral. Lineage: Eukaryota; Viridiplantae; Streptophyta; Magnoliopsida; Malpighiales; Euphorbiaceae.
AGCUCUUUAUCGUCCAUAUACCUCCUAAAAUCCUGAUAAUCCACCCGUCCAUCCCUAUUUGCAUCGCAAACUUUCAACAAAUCGUUAGCGUAUUUAUAUUCCGCCGGAAUCUGCAACGCCGACAACCCUGCGAUCUGCGCAUAAUCCAAGUAUCCAGCAUUCGCGGCGUCAAAGAAAUUAAACAGACUCCGUAAUCUGACAUCCCUCUCUUCUUUGGUUUCUCGCAAUGCCAACAGCACAUGAUCCAUGGAGACAGAACCCGGCUUCUUAACCUGAUUGCAACACCCGGAGCUGUUGGGGUUUGUCUCCAUCUCCGGCAACCCAACACGGUGCUCGACGGCGUGACCAGCUCCGGACAUGAUAGAAAUUCCCAAAUUGCAGAAACGCUAAUUGUGGGGUAGGGGUAGGGACAUGAGUUGCAUUAAAGGAGGUUUUUUUUUUUUGCCCUGUUUGUUGGUAUAAAUCUCUGGGUGGUUGACAACAGUAAUUAAUAAGGAAACAAUUAA